UACAGAGGUCUCAAGCGUUGUUCGGAUUCAUUGGGCGUAAAGGGUGCGUAGGCGGCGCGGUAAGUCGGGUGUGAAAUCUCGGAGCUUAACUCCGAAACUGCAUUCGAUACUGCCGUGCUUGAGGACUGGAGAGGAGACUGGAAUUCACGGUGUAGCAGUGAAAUGCGUAGAUAUCGUGAGGAACACCAGAGGCGAAGGCGACUUCCUGGACAAUUGCUGACACUCAGGCACGAAAGCGUGGGUAGCCAAAGGG
RNAcentral lists this ribosomal RNA (253 nucleotides) under uncultured bacterium. RNAcentral describes it as "partial 16S ribosomal RNA". It matches the Rfam family "Bacterial small subunit ribosomal RNA", at positions 524 to 776 of the family's 1533-position model. The record is from RNAcentral.